Molecule: long non-coding RNA, 1568 nt
Organism: Salvelinus fontinalis (brook trout)
Lineage: Eukaryota; Metazoa; Chordata; Actinopteri; Salmoniformes; Salmonidae
Exons: 3
Source: RefSeq, a predicted model, not a curated record
GGAGGUCAUUUUGCAGGGCUCUGGCAGUGCACCUCCUUGCACUAAGGCGGAGGUACCGGUCCUGCUGCUGGGUUGUUGCCCUCCUACGGCCUCCUCCACGUCUCCUGAUGUACUGGCCUGUCUCCUGGUAGCGCCUGCAUGCUCUGGACACUACGCUGACAGACACAGCAAACCUUUUUGCCACAGUUCGCAUUGAUGUGCCAUCCUGGAUGAACUGCACUACCUGAGCCACUUGUGUGGGUUGUAGACUCCGUCUCAUGCUACCACUAGAGUGAGAGCACCGCCAGCAUUCAAAAGUGACCAAAACAUCAGCCAGGAAGCAUAGGAACUGAGAAGUGGUCUGUGGUCACCACCUGCAGAAUCACUCCUGUUUUGGGGGGUGUCUUGCUAAUUGCCUAUAAUUUCCACCUUUUGUCUAUUCCAUUUGCACAACAGCAUGUGAAAUUUAUUGUCAAUCAGUGUUGCUUCCUAAGUGGACAGUUUGAUUUCACAGAAGUGUGAUUGACUUGGAGUUACAUUGUGUUGUUUAAGUGUUCCCUUUAUUUUUUUGAGCAGUGUAUAACAAACUGACUUUUUGGAAAGGUGGCAUCCUAUGACGGUGCCACAUAUGGAAAGUCACUGAGCUCUUCAGUAAGGCCAUUCUACUGCCAAUGUUUGUCUAUGGAGAUUGCAUGGCUGUGUGCUUGAAAUAGACAAAUCAUUAAGGUUUUUGGACCAUUAUUUCAAGCAAAACACAUUAAUAAAUGUGGUCUCAAAUAUUCAACAUUAAGGAAGUUAUAAGUUACAGUAUAAUAAAUAUCUUAGUUUUUUUCAGUGGAUGACCCCUCAUUUUGAAUGACUUAAAAAUGUCGGGAAAAGGGGAGAUAGUUUGUUACAGAAGACUGGUAAUUUGUUUGAAGCCGUAACUAUGCGGCAGAGUGCGAAGUAGGUACAUGUCCUUCUUGUUUCUGUAUUGGGUGACGGGACCAUAGCUCAUCAUGUGGAGUAUCAUGAUUUGUGGAUUCUUGUUCUUGACAUCUCUUAGGACAGACUCCAGGUGAGCCCAUACUGCUCUCUCAUCAUGUCUAAGAGAGUCAGAUAUGGUGGCGUAGGACUGGCUUCCCUUCGAUCGUAGACUGCUGUCUUCUCCCCCCAAAGUAGAACGCCUGGGUUUCUGUGGCUAAUUUGCAAGUGAAGACUUGUUCCAUGUGUGAGAACAAAACAGGCUACUGCUCAAGAGCAUGGCCCCUCUCCCAGUGCUUGCUGGGAAGGAGGAGUUCAAAAGCAAGGCCGACCACUUACUUGAGACGUUCUACCCCAUCUUUCCCACCAUCUACCUGCAGAGUGUCCAGGUCUACUAGGAGCAGAACCAUAAAGAUUCCUCCAGGUCUGUCGGGGUACAAGUCUAAAACGUUCCAGAAGUUCCUGUCCCUUUAUCUGAAUGGAGCUGUGUGAGCUGCAAAAAUCCGCGCCUGAAUAACACUAAUAACCUUCCCAUUUCUACUGUCAAUACUGUCAUAUCUGAAAAUAAAGAGACCCUAGAUAAUCUAUCUAUCCAUCAUAGUCAAACGUUUGAUUGUGUUUCUCUA